ACUUGCAUGGAAAGAGUCUCCCAAGCAAAGAUGUACGACAUUAGUUUCUGGCAAUUUUUCCUUCUAAUAUUUUGCUAGUUUUCCAUCAGAUCCCAUAUAUAGAUGAAGAAAGCAGGUGCAACGGCUGCUAUUUUGGAAAUUGCAGAGAGGUUAACAAACAGAGAGCAAAACUGAAGAACGGGAACCUUAUAUUAUGAAGCCAUUAGAGGAACUUACAAUUUGGCCCAUUGAACGCUGAAGAGUUUCAGCACUUCGGGAAGAGAAGCGCAUAACCUCUGGAAGAGAUGCACUACAUUGGGAGGGGAUGUGCAGUAUACCUUGGGCAUGGCUCUUAGCUUUCAGACAGCAGGACCACUUGUCAAGUGGAGAAUUGUUCGUCAG
Molecule: long non-coding RNA, 381 nt
Organism: Alnus glutinosa
Lineage: Eukaryota; Viridiplantae; Streptophyta; Magnoliopsida; Fagales; Betulaceae
Exons: 3
Source: RefSeq, a predicted model, not a curated record